AACCUGAUCUGUUCCCAAAUCCGACAAAACAAGUAAACAUUGUACUUGGUGCAAAGUCAAUCGAGAUAUAUGACUCAUACAUUGGAUUCAUAACAGAUUUAUCUUGCUGUUGUACUGUAGCAUAUUUGUUCAAAGGCAGAUAAAAGAAUACGCCAGUUACUAUUUAAUUUACAAUGUUGGGCCCGUGCUCGCACUUUAAAAUCUUCUUGCUUUUCAAAGAAAGAAUCUGAAAUCUGA
This 237-nucleotide long non-coding RNA is filed under the name Nicotiana benthamiana. RNAcentral's name for it is "long non-coding RNA (NBEN_LNC029267)". Lineage: Eukaryota; Viridiplantae; Streptophyta; Magnoliopsida; Solanales; Solanaceae. The record is from RNAcentral.